AUUUAAAAAUUUAUUAAUUUUAUUUUUCAAUAAAAUAUUAUUUUUUUUUAUUAUUAAUAAAGAAAAAAUUUAUUUAAUUAUAGUUAAAAGUAUAGUAAUAGAAAAUUUAAAUAUUUUGAAAAUUUAAAUUUUAAAAAGAAUAAUUUAAUUUUAGUACCUUGUGUAUCAGGGUUUAUUAAAAAAUUUUUACAUAUUUAAAUUUCUCGAUUUUAAAAGAGUUAAAUAUUUAUUUUUUUUAAUGUUAAAUAAUUAUUAUAAAUAAAUACUUAGUAAUGAAACGUUAUUCGUUUUUAAAUAUAUCUAGUUUUUUAAGAAAUAAAUUUAAUUUAUUUAUUAAUAAAAAUUAAUUUUAUUUAUAAAUUUAAUUUUAUUAAUAAAAAAUAUUUUAAGGGAUAAGCUUUAAAAUAAAUUUAUAUAAUUUUUUUAUAUAAAAAUUAAAUGUAGGAUUAAAAAUUUCAAUCAUUAAUAAUUUGUUAUAAUUAAUUUUUUUAUAUAAUUAUUUAUAUUUAAUUUAUAUUUUUUAUUAAAAUUUUUUAUUUAAUUUUAAAAUAUAAGUAAUAAUGAUAAAAUUAGUAUAAUUUAUUGUAAAAAUAUAUUAUUUUUGUAAGGUUAAAUUAAGGAAUUCGGCAAAUUAAUUCUUCGCCUGUUUAAUAAAAACAUGUCUUUUUGAUAAUAAUUUAAAGUCUGACCUGCCCAAUGAAUAAUUUUAAUGGCCGCGGUAUUUUGACCGUGCAAAGGUAGCAUAAUCAUUAGUUUUUUAAUUGAAAGCUGGAAUGAAUGGUUGGACGAGGGAAUUACUGUCUCAAUUUAAUUUAAUUAGAAUUUUAUUUUUAAGUUAAAAAGCUUAAAUAAUUUUAAAAGACGAGAAGACCCUAUAGAGUUUAAUAUUAAUAUAAUUAUUUAUUUUUUAUAAUUAUUAUUAAUUAUAAAAAUAUUUUAUUGGGGUGAUAAAUAAAUUUAAUAAACUUUAUUUUUUAAAAACAUAAAUUUAUGAAUAUUUGAUCCAUUAUUAAUGAUUAAAAGAUUAAAUUACCUUAGGGAUAACAGCGUUAUCUUUUUAGAGAGUUCUUAUCGAAAAAAAGGAUUGCGACCUCGAUGUUGGAUUAAAGUUAAUUUUUGGUGUAGUAGCUAAAAUAUUAAGUCUGUUCGACUUUUAAAACUUUACAUGAUCUGAGUUUAAACCGGCGUGAGCCAGGUUGGUUUCUAUCUUUAAAAAGUUAAAAUAUCUUAGUACGAAAGGACCAGAUAUUUAUAAUAAUUAUUUAAAUUAUGAAUUUUAUU
RNAcentral lists this ribosomal RNA (1281 nucleotides) under Ochthebius peisonis. Its description in RNAcentral is "16S ribosomal RNA". The stretch from base 1040 to 1198 matches the Rfam family "Archaeal large subunit ribosomal RNA", at positions 2542 to 2701 of the family's 2987-position model. The record is from RNAcentral. Lineage: Eukaryota; Metazoa; Arthropoda; Insecta; Coleoptera; Hydraenidae.